This 489-nucleotide ribosomal RNA is filed under the name uncultured bacterium. RNAcentral describes it as "bacterial SSU rRNA". It matches the Rfam family "Bacterial small subunit ribosomal RNA", at positions 341 to 847 of the family's 1533-position model. The record is from RNAcentral.
ACGGGAGGCAGCAGUGGGGAAUAUUGCACAAUGGGGGAAACCCUGAUGCAGCAACGCCGCGUGAGUGAAGAAGUAUUUCGGUAUGUAAAGCUCUAUCAGCAGGGAAGAAAAUGACGGUACCUGACUAAGAAGCCCCGGCUAACUACGUGCCAGCAGCCGCGGUAAUACGUAGGGGGCAAGCGUCAUCCGGAUUUACUGGGUGUAAAGGGAGUGUAGACGGCGAGACAAGUCUGAAGUGAAAGCCCGGGGCUCAACCCCGGGACUGCUUUGGAAACUGCCUUGCUAGAGUGCUGGAGAGGUAAGUGGAAUUCCUAGUGUAGCGGUGAAAUGCGUAGAUAUUAGGAGGAACACCAGUGGCGAAGGCGGCUUACUGGACAGUAACUGACGUUGAGGCUCGAAAGCGUGGGGAGCAAACAGGAUUAGAUACCCUGGUAGUCCACGCCGUAAGCGAUGAAUGCUAGGUGUUGGGGAGCAAAGCUCUUCGGUGCC